AUUGAACGCUGGCGGCAUGCCUUACACAUGCAAGUCGAACGGCAGCGGACCUUCGGGUGCCGGCGAGUGGCGAACGGGUGAGUAAUAUAUCGGAACGUACCUUUCAGUGGGGGAUAACGUAGCGAAAGUUACGCUAAUACCGCAUAUUCUGUGAGCAGGAAAGCAGGGGAUCGCAAGACCUUGCGCUGAUUGAGCGGCCGAUAUCAGAUUAGCUAGUUGGUGAGGUAAAGGCUCACCAAGGCGACGAUCUGUAGCGGGUCUGAGAGGAUGAUCCGCCACACUGGAACUGAGACACGGUCCAGACUCCUACGGGAGGCAGCAGUGGGGAAUUUUGGUACAAUAGGGCGGCCGAAGACCUCGAUACCACGCCACUG
Molecule: ribosomal RNA, 374 nt
Filed under: uncultured bacterium
Lineage: Bacteria
Description: bacterial SSU rRNA
Rfam family: Bacterial small subunit ribosomal RNA
Source: RNAcentral